GACGAACGCUGGCGGCGUGCUUCAUACAUGCAAGUCGAACGAGAAUCGGUAGCCUGCUAUCGAGGAAAGUGGCGGACGGGUGAGUAAUAUGUAGAGAAUCUGCCCUAGAGUGGGGGACAAUAGUUGGAAACGACUGCUAAUACCCCAUAUGAGCGUACCUGCAAUGGUAUUCUUGAAAACUCCGGUGCUCUAGGAUGAGUCUGCAUCUGAUUAGCUAGUUGGGGGUGUAAUGGACCACCAAGGCGACGAUCAGUAGCCGGACUGAGAGGUUGAACGGCCACAUUGGGACUGAGACACGGCCCAG
RNAcentral lists this ribosomal RNA (304 nucleotides) under uncultured bacterium. RNAcentral's name for it is "bacterial SSU rRNA". It matches the Rfam family "Bacterial small subunit ribosomal RNA", at positions 28 to 334 of the family's 1533-position model. The record is from RNAcentral.